This 1590-nucleotide long non-coding RNA is filed under the name Bos indicus x Bos taurus (hybrid cattle). Its description in RNAcentral is "lncRNA (ENSBIXG00000004768.1)". Lineage: Eukaryota; Metazoa; Chordata; Mammalia; Artiodactyla; Bovidae. The record is from RNAcentral.
AAAAAACAAAACAAAACAAAAAAUGAAAAUUAAGAACCUUCCCAAGUUGACAUGAUCGUGAAAAUCACAACUAAGAAAUGAAACUUAAGUCUUUUUCAUUCCAUUUUCAUUACAGCUGAUUGACUACCCUUCCAAUAUUUUGAGUCUAUACAUCUGAAACAACCUGUUUCCAAAGAGCAUUCUUUUUUUUUUAAGUACAUAUCCUAAGACAAUAUUAACUUUCCCAGGUAUGACAUUGUCCAGCACCACAACUGGCCAAUCAGAAGUAAGCUGCAGCCAUCAAUCUAUGAAAGGACAAGCAGCUCCAAGAUCACUCCUUAAAACAUAGUUUGCAUUAUUGUGGGUGAAAAAAGCCUAUGAAUUCAUAAAUGUGCCUGGUAUAAAUUAGAAAAAAAAAGUUGGACAAAUGGUCAUAAGGAACGAGAUACAUGACAAUCACAAUGGAGGAAAUUCUGGUGUGCCCAGUCUUUCACCGAGCCAGCGUUAGAGCCACUGCAAGUUACUUCAUCAUUCUCUGGAAUAUCUCUUCUCCAAAGAAUGAAUGCACUGGAAGCUAUAGCAUCACAUCUAAUGCUGAAGAAGAGAAGUAGAAUGUGUUUACUUCUUGCAAGUAGGUAAAAAUUUAAACUAAUAUAAGCACUGUUAAUUGAAUUGCUUCCUGGACUCACUAGCUCCGGACAUCACAGUUAAAUUGAAUUUUUUAAAGGAAUUUUUAAUAAUUUUGUUUAUUGGCUCUGCUGGGUCUUCAGUGCUACAUGGGCUUUUCUGUAGUUGUGGCACUUGGGCUUCUCAUCGCAGGGCUUCCCUUGUGGACCAUGGUCUCAAGGUUGUGUGGGCUUCAGUAGCUGAAUGCAAGGGCUCAGUGCCUGAGGUUCCUGGGCUCUAGAACACAGAUUCAAUAGUUGUGGUCCACGGGCUUAGCUGCUCCUUGGCACGUGGGAUCUUCCCGGACCAGGGAAUGAACCCAUGUCUCCUGCUUUGACAGGCGAAUUCUUUACCACUGAGCCACCAGGGUAGCCCUAAAUUGAAUUUUGAUGAAUGCCCAGUGUUUGGUGACAGAGGGUCUUUCCCAUUCUGAGCACAUCACAGAAUGUCUCUAGUUCUGAGGUUCUUGAGAGUGUUAUGUGACUGUGUUCAGCAGCAUAUCCCACACAUCAUUCUCCCCUGAACACUUGUUUAAGCUGACAUGUCAUUGCCUCUAGUGAUGAGAAUGCCAUCAUGUAAACACCACUGUUACCUCUUGUGAUCACCAUGGACUAAUUUAUCAUUGCAAAUCAGACAUGGAAAUAGUUUUUUUUUUUUCUUUUAUGGUCCAACUAACUCCAGACUCAACAUUCAACAAUAUUUUACUAAAGCUUCUGUGAUAAUGGAUGAAAGAAGAGGAGAGCACUUGAGAAAGUUCCCCAUUGCUCUAUGAGGGCAUGUUCAAAAGUCACAGUUCAUCCUUAGCGUCACCUAGAAAAUAAUACUCUGCUAAGUCUCUCCUCUGCCCCUGUGUACUUGGUACCAGGUCUUUUACCACUGAGGAUAUACCAAAUCUAUUUGGUCUUUUGUCUUCAGACUCAAGGGACAUGACCCAGAAAGUGUUUU